CUGGGUGUGGCCCCAAGCCAAACAAAGUCAGUUUAAAAAGAAAAUCAUAAACCUUCCCUGUAAUAAGACCAUGCACGUGUUCCCAGGCCUUGUCUUUUACCUACCUAGGUCUGGUCUUAGAAAUGCUGGUGAGGGGC
Sorex araneus (European shrew) is the source of this 137-nucleotide small nucleolar RNA. Its record names the gene SNORA72. It matches the Rfam family "Small nucleolar RNA SNORA72". From Rfam's summary of the family: U72 is a member of the H/ACA class of snoRNAs. The snoRNA gene is located in intron 4 of the ribosomal L30 protein gene in human, mouse and chicken. The record is from Ensembl. NCBI's taxonomy places the organism in Eukaryota, Metazoa, Chordata, Mammalia, Eulipotyphla, Soricidae.